RNAcentral lists this ribosomal RNA (160 nucleotides) under uncultured eukaryote. Its description in RNAcentral is "partial 28S ribosomal RNA". The record is from RNAcentral.
GCAUAUCAAUAAGCGGAGGAAAAGGUGGAGAAGAAAGGAGAAGAGGAGAGAGAGAAGAGAGAAGAACGGCGAAGGGAGGAGAAGGUGGAGAAGAAAGGAGAAGAGGAGAAAGAGACAGAAAGAGAGACUAUGAAUAUUACACCGUCUUGAAACACGGACC